This 1461-nucleotide ribosomal RNA is filed under the name Pseudomonas sp. DAP37. RNAcentral describes it as "bacterial SSU rRNA". It matches the Rfam family "Bacterial small subunit ribosomal RNA". Lineage: Bacteria; Pseudomonadati; Pseudomonadota; Gammaproteobacteria; Pseudomonadales; Pseudomonadaceae. The record is from RNAcentral.
ACCANGCAAGNUCGUAGCGGAUGANAGGAGCUUGCUCCUGGAUUCAGCGGCGGACGNCNUUNNUAAUGCCUAGGAAUCUGCCUGGUAGUGGGGGACAACGUUUCGAAAGGAACGCUAAUACCGCAUACGUCCUACGGGAGAAAGCAGGGGACCUUCGGGCCUUGCGCUAUCAGAUGAGCCUAGGUCGGAUUAGCUAGUUGGUGAGGUAAUGGCUCACCAAGGCGACGAUCCGUAACUGGUCUGAGAGGAUGAUCAGUCACACUGGAACUGAGACACGGUCCAGACUCCUACGGGAGGCAGCAGUGGGGAAUAUUGGACAAUGGGCGAAAGCCUGAUCCAGCCAUGCCGCGUGUGUGAAGAAGGUCUUCGGAUUGUAAAGCACUUUAAGUUGGGAGGAAGGGUUGUAGAUUAAUACUCUGCAAUUUUGACGUUACCGACAGAAUAAGCACCGGCUAACUCUGUGCCAGCAGCCGCGGUAAUACAGAGGGUGCAAGCGUUAAUCGGAAUUACUGGGCGUAAAGCGCGCGUAGGGUGGUUUGUUAAGUUGGAAUGUGAAAUCCCCGGGUCUCAACCUGGGAACUGCAUCCAAAACUGGCAAGCUAGAGUAUGGUAGAGGGUGGUGGAAUUUCCUGUGUAGCGGUGAAAUGCGUAGAUAUAGGAAGGAACACCAGUGGCGAAGGCGACCACCUGGACUGAUACUGACACUGAGGUGCGAAAGCGUGGGGAGCAAACAGGAUUAGAUACCCUGGUAGUCCACGCCGUAAACGAUGUCNACUAGCCGUUGGGAGCCUUGAGCUCUUAGUGGCGCAGCUAACGCAUUAAGUUGACCGCCUGGGGAGUACGGCCGCAAGGUUAAAACUCAAAUGAAUUGACGGGGGCCCGCACAAGCGGUGGAGCAUGUGGUUUAAUUCGAAGCAACGCGAAGAACCUUACCAGGCCUUGACAUCCAAUGAACUUUCCAGAGAUGGAUUGGUGCCUUCGGGAACAUUGAGACAGGUGCUGCAUGGCUGUCGUCAGCUCGUGUCGUGANAUGUUGGGUUAAGUCCCGUAACGAGCGCAACCCUUGUCCUUAGUUACCAGCACGUNAUGGUGGGCACUCUAAGGAGACUGCCGGUGACAAACCGGAGGAAGGUGGGGAUGACGUCAAGUCAUCAUGGCCCCUUACGGCCUGGGCUACACACGUGCUACAAUGUCGGUACAGAGGGUUGCCAAGCCGCGAGGUGGAGCUAAUCCCACAAAACCGAUCGUAGUCCGGAUCGCAGUCUGCAACUCGACUGCGUGAAGUCGGAAUCGCUAGUAAUCGCGAAUCAGAAUGUCGCGGUGAAUACGUUCCCGGGCCUUGUACACACCGCCCGUCACACCAUGGGAGUGGGUUGCACCAGAAGUAGCUAGUCUAACCUUCGGGAGGACGGUUACCACGGUGUGAUUCAUGACUGGGGUGAAGUCGUAACAAGGUAACCA